UAAGCAUAUCAAUAAGCGCAGGAAAAGAAACCAACAGGGAUUGCCUCAGUAACGGCGAGUGAAGCGGCAACAGCUCAAAUUUAAAAUCUGGCCUCUUGGGGUCCGAGUUGUAAUUUGUAGAGGAUGUUUUGGGUACCGCCCCGGUUUAAAUUUCUUGGAACAGAAUGUCAUAGAGGGUGAGAAUCCCGUCUUGGACCGGCGGUAGGGCCUGUGUAAAACUCCUUCGACGAGUCGAGUUGUUUGGGAAUGCAGCUCAAAAUGGGUGGUAAAUUUCAUCUAAAGCUAAAUAUUGGCCAGAGACCGAUAGCGCACAAGUAGAGUGAUCGAAAGAUGAAAAGCACUUUGAAAAGAGAGUUAAACAGUAUGUGAAAUUGUUGAAAGGGAAGCGCUUGCAACCAGACUUGAGCGCGGCGGUUCCCCCAGCCUUUUGGCUGGGUUACUCCGUCGUGUCCAGGCCAACAUCGGUUCUGGGGGUCGGUCAAAGGCCUUGGGAAUGUAUCUACUUACGGGUAGACUUAUAGACCAGGGUGUCAUGCGGCCUCCCGGGACCGAGGAACGCGCUUCGGCUCGGAUGUUGGCGUAAUGGUUGUCAGCGACCCGUCUUGAAACACGGACCAAGGAGUCUAACAUCUAUGCGAGUGUUUGGGUGUCAAACCCGGAACGCGGAAUGAAAGUGAACGGAGGUAGGAAGCUUCGGCUGCACUAUCGACCGAUCCUGAAGUUUACGGAUGGAUUUGAGUAAGAGCAUAGCUGUUGGGACCCGAAAGAUGGUGAACUAUGCCUGAAUAGGGUGAAGCCAGAGGAAACUCUGGUGGAGGCUCGCAGCGGUUCUGACGUGCAAAUCGAUCGUCAAAUUUGGGUAUAGGGGCGAAAGACUAAUCGAACCAUCUGGUAGCUGGUUCCUGCCGA
Molecule: ribosomal RNA, 909 nt
Filed under: Cladophialophora sp.
Lineage: Eukaryota; Fungi; Ascomycota; Eurotiomycetes; Chaetothyriales; Herpotrichiellaceae
Description: partial large subunit ribosomal RNA
Rfam family: Eukaryotic large subunit ribosomal RNA
Source: RNAcentral